GACGAACGCUGGCGGCGUGCUUAACACAUGCAAGUCGAACGGAAAGGCCUGCUUUCCCUUGUGGAUUGCGGGUACUCGAGUGGCGAACGGGUGAGUAACACGUGAGUGAUCUGCCCCCAACUUGGGUAUAAGCCUGGGAAACUGGGUCUAAUUCCCGAUAGGACUGCAGGGUGGUGCCUGUGGUGGAAAACGAUUUUCUAGUGGUUGGGGAUGAGCUCGCGGCCUAUCAGCUUGUUGGUGGGGUAAUGGCCUACCAAGGCGGCGACGGGUAGCCGGCCUGAGAGGGUGGACGGCCAAAUUGGGACUGAGAUACGGCCCAGACUCCAACGGGAGGCAGCAGUGGGGAAUAUAGGACAAUGGGCGGAAGCCUGAUGCAGCGACGCCGCGUGGGGGAUGACGGCCUUCGGGUUGUAAACUCCUUUCGACCGCGAGGAAGCCACCUGGUUGGAAGGGUGGUGACGGUAGUGGUAGAAGAAGCACCGGCUAACUACGUG
This 494-nucleotide ribosomal RNA is filed under the name uncultured bacterium. RNAcentral describes it as "partial 16S ribosomal RNA". It matches the Rfam family "Bacterial small subunit ribosomal RNA", at positions 28 to 507 of the family's 1533-position model. The record is from RNAcentral.